Molecule: ribosomal RNA, 253 nt
Filed under: uncultured bacterium
Lineage: Bacteria
Description: partial 16S ribosomal RNA
Rfam family: Bacterial small subunit ribosomal RNA
Source: RNAcentral
UACGUAGGGGGCAAGCGUUAUCCGGAAUUACUGGGUGUAAAGGGUGAGUAGGCGGCAUGGUAAGCCAGAUGUGAAAGCCUUGGGCUUAACCCGAGGAUUGCAUUUGGAACUAUCAAGCUAGAGUACAGGAGAGGAAAGCGGAAUUCCUAGUGUAGCGGUGAAAUGCGUAGAUAUUAGGAAGAACACCAGUGGCGAAGGCGGCUUUCUGGACUGAAACUGACGCUGAGGCACGAAAGCGUGGGUAUCAAACAGG